Molecule: long non-coding RNA, 866 nt
Organism: Polyodon spathula (Mississippi paddlefish)
Lineage: Eukaryota; Metazoa; Chordata; Actinopteri; Acipenseriformes; Polyodontidae
Exons: 5
Source: RefSeq, a predicted model, not a curated record
CUAUACCCCUGUGUGCUCGUUUGUUAGACUCUUGAAACGUGCAAAACAAGUAAUAGUAUGGCGGUAAAAUCGGGUCCAAAUGUCAGGUCACUUUCCAGAUACCCUGUAGAAGAUUCUUGGAGCUGUAAAAAAACCUUCGAAAACAGAUUACUCAAUAUGAGCUUUUUCAAGGGAGUAUGAUCUUACUUUGGACGAUAUGAGAGACCUUACUGUAGAGAGAGUUCAUUUUCUACUGAAGUUACCACAAACCCAACCACAUCUCCAAGACCAGAUGGGAAUCGUGUGCGGAUUAUUUGGAGGAUUGGUCACAAAUCUUGUAAGCCCUGAGCAGAAUGCAAAGUGGUAUCUACCAGCCAAGGUUUGGCUUGGUGUCGCCUGAUGGAGUUUCAGUCACCCAUCAAAAACAAAGAUGUCCGAUUCAGCACUAUGUUAGCUACCCUUACUCAAGAUUGCAAGAUUGGCUUUGACUGUCCAGGCCAUGGUGGCCAUGAAGAACUCUCCACACUGGACAGAGCGACGCAAAGUCGCCGAUGUCAAUCCACACCAGACGCGACUUGGAAAUGAUCCAAAAGACUGGAAAUAAAUACAUCACCCCUCUCAUGCAUUUCUAUUGGACAUACUAGAGAUGGACUGUCCCAUUACAAAACAGGUUUUGUUUUGAUAAAAGAUUACCAGCCUGACCUCCGGCAACUCUGUUGUAAAAUAAAGGUUGGACUUGUAAAAUCUAUAAAUCAAAGUUAUUGAACAUCCCUAUAUAUCCAACAGUUUUACUGCUAAUAGUAAUUGUGCAGUAGUUUUUAAAAAAAAAAAAAAUUUUUUUUUUUUUUUUUUUUUUUUUUGCGCUACCAGUCGUAGUAGUAGUCUGA